This 251-nucleotide long non-coding RNA is filed under the name Salvia miltiorrhiza (redroot sage). Its description in RNAcentral is "long non-coding RNA (SMIL_LNC003242)". The record is from RNAcentral. Lineage: Eukaryota; Viridiplantae; Streptophyta; Magnoliopsida; Lamiales; Lamiaceae.
UGAAAAAUGAGUUCUUGUGGGAAGAGGUCAAAGACAAAAUCAUCGGAGAAUGUUCGGGGAAAUUGAAAGUUUCGACACUUGGAGGAAAUCUAGUUCUCUUUCAGAGUGCAUGCGGAGAUUCAACUGAAGAAAUCCUUAAAAGAGAUGGACGAAUGGUUUACAGUUCUGGUUCUUGUGGAGUAGGAAAUGGAAGAUCGGCGAUGUUUCGCAUCAAAGAGUGGUCUGGACCAAAUGGGUGGGUGUGCCUUUAC